RNAcentral lists this ribosomal RNA (253 nucleotides) under Abditibacterium sp. Its description in RNAcentral is "partial 16S ribosomal RNA". It matches the Rfam family "Bacterial small subunit ribosomal RNA", at positions 524 to 776 of the family's 1533-position model. RNAcentral also lists the same sequence under 1 other name. The record is from RNAcentral. Lineage: Bacteria; Pseudomonadati; Abditibacteriota; Abditibacteriia; Abditibacteriales; Abditibacteriaceae.
UACGUAGGUGGCAAGCGUUGUCCGGAUUUACUGGGCGUAAAGCGUAUGCAGGCGGAUUCUUAAGUAGGAAGUGAAAGGUUGGAGCUUAACUCUAACACUGCUCCCUAUACUGGGAACCUUGAGUGCCGGAGAGGAAGACGGAACGACACGUGUAGCGGUGAAAUGCGUUGAGAUGUGUCGGAACACCAAUGGCGAAAGCAGUCUUCUGGACGGAUACUGACGCUGAGAUACGAAAGCCAAGGUAGCAAACAGG